CGCGACAGAUAUGGGCCCUU
This 20-nucleotide non-coding RNA is filed under the name Arabidopsis thaliana (thale cress). The record is from RNAcentral. Lineage: Eukaryota; Viridiplantae; Streptophyta; Magnoliopsida; Brassicales; Brassicaceae.